UACGUAGGGUGCAAGCGUUAAUCGGAAUUACUGGGCGUAAAGCGCACGUAGGCGGCCUGUUAAGUCGGAUGUGAAAGCCCCGGGCUCAACCCGGGAAGUGCAUUCGAAACUGGCGGGCUUGAAUAUGGAAGAGGGUCGCGGAAUUCCCGGUGUAGAGGUGAAAUUCGUAGAUAUCGGGAGGAACACCAGUGGCGAAAGCGGCUCUCUGGGACGGUACUGACGCUGAGACGCGAAAGCGUGGGGAGCAAACAGG
Molecule: ribosomal RNA, 253 nt
Filed under: uncultured bacterium
Lineage: Bacteria
Description: partial 16S ribosomal RNA
Rfam family: Bacterial small subunit ribosomal RNA
Source: RNAcentral